This 209-nucleotide ribosomal RNA is filed under the name uncultured bacterium. Its description in RNAcentral is "partial 16S ribosomal RNA". It matches the Rfam family "Bacterial small subunit ribosomal RNA", at positions 524 to 729 of the family's 1533-position model. The record is from RNAcentral.
UACGUAGGGUGCAAGCGUUGUCCGGAAUUAUUGGGCGUAAAGAGCUCGUAGGCGGUCUGUCGCGUCUGCUGUGAAAACUCAGGGCUUAACCCUGAGCUUGCAGUGGGUACGGGCAGACUAGAGUGCGGUAGGGGAGACUGGAAUUCCUGGUGUAGCGGUGAAAUGCGCAGAUAUCAGGGAGGGAACACCGGUGGCGGAAGGCGGCUCUC